RNAcentral lists this ribosomal RNA (253 nucleotides) under uncultured bacterium. Its description in RNAcentral is "partial 16S ribosomal RNA". It matches the Rfam family "Bacterial small subunit ribosomal RNA", at positions 524 to 776 of the family's 1533-position model. The record is from RNAcentral.
UACAGAGGGGGCAAGCGUUAUUCGGAAUUAUUGGGCGUAAAGGGCGCGUAGGCGGCUUUGCAAGUGACGGGUGAAAUCCCUCGGCUUAACCGAGGAACUGCCUGUCAGACUGUGAGGCUUGAGACCGGGAGAGGUGAGUGGAAUUCCAGGUGUAGCGGUGAAAUGCGUAGAUAUCAGGAAGAACACCCGUGGCGAAGGCGGCCGGCUGGGCCGUCCCUGACGCUGAGGCGCGAAGGCGUGGGGAGCGAACGGG